RNAcentral lists this ribosomal RNA (358 nucleotides) under uncultured Alphaproteobacteria bacterium. RNAcentral's name for it is "bacterial SSU rRNA". It matches the Rfam family "Bacterial small subunit ribosomal RNA", at positions 114 to 507 of the family's 1533-position model. The record is from RNAcentral. Lineage: Bacteria; Pseudomonadati; Pseudomonadota; Alphaproteobacteria.
CGCGUGGGAAUAUACCCUUUGGUACGGAAUAGCCCCGGGAAACUGGGAGUAAUACCGUAUGUGCCCUUCGGGGGAAAGAUUUAUCGCCAAAGGAUUAGCCCGCGUUGGAUUAGGUAGUUGGUGGGGUAAUGGCCUACCAAGCCGACGAUCCAUAGCUGGUUUGAGAGGAUGAUCAGCCACACUGGGACUGAGACACGGCCCAGACUCCUACGGGAGGCAGCAGUGGGGAAUCUUAGACAAUGGGGGCAACCCUGAUCUAGCCAUGCCGCGUGAGUGAUGAAGGCCCUAGGGUUGUAAAGCUCUUUCAGCUGGGAAGAUAAUGACGGUACCAGCAGAAGAAGCCCCGGCUAACUCCGUG